AUGUAUCAGAAUUUCCACAAGGUUCACAAAGGUGAGCAACUGAAGAACAAUUUGUGGGCAAUUGCCAGGGCUACAAACAACCCUACAUACACUAGAGCAAUGCAAAAGAUGGAACAAGACAACACUGAUGCAUACAAAUGGUGUGAAAAAUGGCCACCCAGAACCUGGAUUAAAGCAUUUUUCAACCCAUUUCCAAAGUGUGACAUUCUACUAAAUAACAUGUCUGAAGUUUUCAACAGUUGGAUAUUGGAAUCUAGAGAACUACCAAUUAAGUCCAUGUUGGACAGCAUCACUGACAAGAUCACAACUAGGAUGUACAACAAGCAAAAGGAGGUGGCCACUGAUAGAAAAUGGGGUAAAAGAUUGUGCCCAAAAAUAUAG
This 381-nucleotide ribosomal RNA is filed under the name Triticum aestivum (bread wheat). RNAcentral describes it as "partial small subunit ribosomal RNA". The record is from RNAcentral. Lineage: Eukaryota; Viridiplantae; Streptophyta; Magnoliopsida; Poales; Poaceae.